CGGCAGAGUCACGGCUCCACAGCGACUCAUAAACCACAAUCUUAUUUUACCAAGAGUCUUCUCGGCGCCGGAUAUCAGUGUGUCAAGCGCUACCCGAGUGUGAACAUGGAUGCAUGGGAAGAUGCAUCACUGCCUCUCAGAUUGUAGUAAACUCAAAACGAAAAUGACGAUCAAAUUCUGUUUGUUCGAUUUUCUUCUUUUGUUAUUUAUCAAUUACGGGAAUACUCAAGGAAAUAUCAGCUUGUCUCCUGCGAAUCCGCUGUACUGGUUAGACAGUUACAUCAAAAUCACCUGCAGAACUUACUCGCCCAACAUCAAAGUGAAGGAAUGCAGCUGGUUUAUAAACGACAGCAAGGUUUCAAAUGGAGAAAUCUAUCAGUUUUCUGUGGACGAGAAAGAAAGAGAAUGUGUUAUGACUGUUAAAUUGGCGGCAACUGCCAAAAAUGGCAAAUGGAGAUGUCUGCUUCACCUGUCGGCAACUAGCCGCAUUUCAGAUUUAAGUGCUUCCACCAAUGUGGCCAUUUUCGAGCUAACUCUGAGGGAAUUCGUCAUAAUCAUUUGUGGUGUACCCAUUUUCUUGGCAAUGUCGCUCAUUAUCGCAGGGCUAAUAAUGAAAAAUCGGCGCCAAAUAUCUCCUGUGGAACCGCGAAAUUGUUUCGUUGCUUCAGCACCAGUGGUUUUGGAAGGAGGUUUAAAUGGCGAAAUGCCACCCCCCCACCUUCGUAUGACACAGUUUUUGGCGACAGAAUGCUAACCGAUCAGCUCGCCCGACUAGAGUUUUCCGGGUUUCAUAAUUGCACAGAAGGUCGUUCAUCUCUUCACGAUAACGACGAACCAGGAAACUUUGAGCCAGCGUUCAAAAGUAGAUCAGCCCCUACUUUGGUUGUCGCGUAGAACAGCGUUUUAGAGAAUACAGAAAACGCUGUCUAUGAAUUAAUGAAACUUAAAUAUUUACACCAAAAACUAGACCGUUAAACUUGUAUUAUCCCUGGUCUGUUAUUAAUGGUUUCAAUUGAAUAUGUACAUAUGGAAGACUGGUUAAUCUUAGUUUAACCUUCUGCCAAUAUUGUCGUCCUUGUAAAGUGCAACAAAAUACAUUCAAAACGAACAUUUAA
Daphnia magna is the source of this 1115-nucleotide RNA transcript. RefSeq lists it as uncharacterized. The record is from RefSeq and is a predicted model, not a curated record. The transcript has 5 exons. NCBI's taxonomy places the organism in Eukaryota, Metazoa, Arthropoda, Branchiopoda, Diplostraca, Daphniidae.